AUUUGGCGGACGGGUGAGUAACGCGUGAGGAGCUGUCUUAUGCAGGGGGACAACAGUUGGGAACGGCUGCUAAUACCCCAUAAGCCGAGAGGUAAAAGGAGCAAUCCGGCAGAGGAGGUACUCGUGUCCUAUCAGCUAGUAGGUUGGGUAACGGCCGACCUAGGCGAAGACGGGUAGCCGGCCUGAGGGGGCGAACGGCCACACUGGAACUGAGAUACGGUCCAGACUCCUACGGGAGGCAGCAGUGGGGAAUAUUGGGCAAUGGGGGGAACCCUGACCCAGCGACGCCGCGUGGGUGAAGAAAUCCUUCGGGAUGUAAAGCCCUGUUGUAUGGGAAGAGCAGAAGACGGUACCAUACGAGGAAGCCCCGGCAAACUACGUGCCAGCAGCCGCGGUAAUAA
RNAcentral lists this ribosomal RNA (401 nucleotides) under uncultured bacterium. RNAcentral describes it as "bacterial SSU rRNA". It matches the Rfam family "Bacterial small subunit ribosomal RNA", at positions 93 to 526 of the family's 1533-position model. The record is from RNAcentral.